Molecule: long non-coding RNA, 236 nt
Filed under: Cottoperca gobio
Lineage: Eukaryota; Metazoa; Chordata; Actinopteri; Perciformes; Bovichtidae
Description: lncRNA (ENSCGOG00000008469.1)
Source: RNAcentral
UCUGCAAGUUUACUGUUAAAAAAAACCAGCCAGGAGGGCGACAGAGCAGAGCAGAGCUGAGCCGUGAGGAGAGCAGAGUUUGCCGAAUACAUGAGACUGUGUGUCCCGGUGUCGGAAAUUAUUAUCUCCGCAUUCUGGGAAUUUCAUUUGCCACCAGACAAGUGGCUGCGGGUUGAAGCUGCUUCUUUGCCUUUCUGUGAGCGUAGCGACCCGGACACGACGUUAGCAGGAGCGGC